CUUCUGUUUGCAACGUUUAACUCUCUCUCUCUCUGUUUAACUCUCACUUUCCAGUUCCCGUUUAACCUUCUCUCUGUUUGCAACGUUCGUUAUUCUCUUUACAACAGAGCUCAAGGAAAUCCAAGGUCUCAGUUCAACAACGACCAAUAGAUGGAUCUACAUGUAUCAGCGUAACUAUAAACUAUCGUGGAAUUCUAUCAAAAAAUCUAAAAACUCGAACACAACGCAUGCACCUCAAAACGGAAUGUGGGAACAAGUCACUGAUGCGCCGAGGCACAAAUCACGCAGAAGGAAAGAUAGGUCAUACAUACAAUCGUUAAAAUUCAAACAGACCAAGGAGUAGAGGGUUAGGUUUUUACCGUUCGAGAUGCUUCAGAGUUGAACGAACAGGUGAAGUGAUGUUGAUGCUGAUUGAUUGAAAAAGGGGUGCUGUUAUUCAACAGGUUUUUUAGUUCUGAAGAGUUGCUUUUGAAUUGGGAACUUCCAAAAGAGCUUUUGGAAGAGUCUGUGAAAUUUGCUUAAAACUGCUGUGUUUACAUCUUAUUCCAAUUUUUAAUAAAAUUAUUUCUGAUGUAACAGAGACCUUUUGGAUUAUGAACUUAGGGAUUGCUUGUAACAUGUACAAACUUAAUUUGGAAUUUCUCUUUUUGGCCAGUUAUGCAAUUGUUUUGGAUUAUUAGGAA
Molecule: long non-coding RNA, 683 nt
Organism: Lathyrus oleraceus (garden pea)
Lineage: Eukaryota; Viridiplantae; Streptophyta; Magnoliopsida; Fabales; Fabaceae
Exons: 2
Source: RefSeq, a predicted model, not a curated record